This 274-nucleotide long non-coding RNA is filed under the name Ananas comosus (pineapple). RNAcentral's name for it is "long non-coding RNA (ACOM_LNC041930)". The record is from RNAcentral. Lineage: Eukaryota; Viridiplantae; Streptophyta; Magnoliopsida; Poales; Bromeliaceae.
UGUAGAGACUACAAUGCUGAAAUAGAAGAACAGAGGGAGGUGAAACGAUCUCACCGACUACCAGCUCGAAGCACCCAUCUAUCACUAUUGCGUUAGAAAAACUGGGUGCGCAAUAAGUCAACCGGACCUACGAAAAUCCACCGAGUCAGUAUCCAACCAACUUACCCAAAGUACACAACUCACAAACCCCCACACAAGUCCCCAAAAUCGGUUUCCCAGAACCGAUCACCGUAACUCGCCGGAAGUCCCGAAAACCACACCGGGACGCCGUCGG